Molecule: ribosomal RNA, 509 nt
Filed under: uncultured heterolobosean
Lineage: Eukaryota; Heterolobosea
Description: partial 18S ribosomal RNA
Rfam family: Eukaryotic small subunit ribosomal RNA
Source: RNAcentral
UAUAUUAAGCUUAUUUCAAAGAUUAAGCCAUGCAAAUGUAAGAACAAAUCGUAGGGGCAACUCUAUGAUAUUUCAUCUGUACACAGCUCCAUAUAAGAUUUAUAAGCGUCUCUAAUUGUGUAAUUUAUAAGGAUAACGUUGCUAAACGCAUCGAUAAUACUUGAGAAAUAAUUAUUAGUUCUAAUAGGAAUAUGAAUUAAUGUCCCUUGGUAACAGGGGGGAUAAUCAAACGAUCGAUUAGACGCAUUUAUCACCCAUCAAUUAGAUAACUGUUUUGAUAACAGCUAUGAUUAUAACGGGUACAGAGAAUCGGGGUUCGAUUCUGGAGAAGGAGCCUGAGAAAUAGCUACUAGUGCCAUGACAUGCAGCAGGCGCGAAAAUUACCCAAUGAUAAUACUUGAUCGAGGUAGUGACAAGAAAUAAGCACUGCUUCUUAACUAGAAGCAGGUACUGGUUAAUUUAUCGGUUUACAAUGGUUCCGUAUUAGACUUACGGAAGAGUAACAAUUG